GGCGUCGCCAAGCAAAGCCAAGCUCAAGGAGUUCCUCCAGCAGUGUGACCGGGAGGAGCUGGUGGAAUUGGCUCUGCCUCAGCUGGCUCAGGUUGUGACCGUGUAUGAGUUUCUUCUGAUGAAGGUGAGUACUCUUAGUGUUUCUAAAUGAUAGCGGGAUGAUUAGAAGUUAUUUAGAAAUAAUAUUAUUAUUUAUUAAUUAUUUUUCAAUAGCCUGCAUAGUUGUUAAUUUUAUUUUUGAGACAGGGUCUUGCUCUGUCACCCAGCUGGAGUGCAGUGGUGCCAUCAUAGCUCACUGCAGCCUCAGACUGCUGGUCUCCAGCAAUCCUUCCACCUCAGCCUUCCAAGUAGCUGGGACUACAGGCAUGCACCAUCAUACCCGGCUAAUUUUUAAUUUAUUUAAAACAUUUUUUUUUGUAGAGAUGGGAUCUAGCUUUGUUGCCCAGGCUGGUCUCAAACUCCUGGCCUCAAGUAAUCCUCCUGCCUCAGCCUCCCAAAGUGAUGGGAUUAUAGGUGUGAGCUACCGUGCCCAGCUCAUAGUUGUUUUGGAAAGAGCCAGGCCAUUUGGAAUCGUUUUCCUUUUCCAGGACAGCUGAAGUGAGCCUGCUGGUCACACACCGUGCCUGGUGUGGGGGCUGCUGCCUGGGUAGCUGGGUGUCUCGGGCAUGUGCCCAUUCACUCCCUUGACUUUUAACUUGGUACGGGAGGAAUGGAAGUGGCAGCCACAAAUAAUGGCCAUCCUGGGCUCUCCUAGAACCCACUCGCCCCAGCUGGCCUCUUCUGCCCGGGGCUCUGCUCCCUCUGAGCCCGCUCUGAGGCUGCAGCCCAGGCUGCCUGUGCCCCACACUCCCUCCGGAGCUGACAGUCCAGCCGGGGCUCAGGGCCUUUCUGCCUUCCCUUCCCACCCUGUCCAGGAGCUCACCCAUGCCCUACAUGGCCCCCACCCAAGGCUUGUUUGUUUCUUGGCCUGCUCCUCCCAUGCCCAUCCUGGCUUCUCUGCACCAUGCGGGGCACACAGUAGGUGCUCACUGGGGACUGAAGGAAACGCACACCACUGAGGGCUGCUGAGGGGUUAAGGAACCGAAACUUUGUUUAGAUUUUCUUCUGUAUUUUCCAUAUCAGUGCCUCGAGUUUAAACUUUUUUUUUGGUCUUAUCUUCACGAAGGUUGAAAAAGAUCAUCUAGCAAAGCCUUUUUUCCCAGCUAUAUAUAAGGAAUUUGAAGAGUUGCAUAAAAUGGUUAAGAAAAUGUGCCAAGAUUACCUCAGUAGUUCUGGUCUGUGUUCCCAGGAGACCCUGGAAAUAAACAAUGAUAAGGUUGCUGAGUCAUUAGGAAUCACAGAAUUCCUACGGAAGAAAGAAAUACACCCAGACAACCUUGGACCCAAGCACCUCAGCCGAGACAUGGAUGGGGAGCAGCUAGAGGGAGCUAGCAGCGAGAAGAGGGAACGUGAGGUGGGCAUGGCUGAAGUGGGUGCCAGGUGACUCUGUGCA
This 1492-nucleotide long non-coding RNA is filed under the name Pan troglodytes (chimpanzee). RNAcentral's name for it is "long non-coding RNA NONPTRT004930". Lineage: Eukaryota; Metazoa; Chordata; Mammalia; Primates; Hominidae. The record is from RNAcentral.